GUCUCAGUAGCACAGUGGUUAGUGCACUGCUCCGGAUAGCUUGUGACGCGGGUUCGAAUCCCGCCUGAGAUG
This is a non-coding RNA of Nippostrongylus brasiliensis, 72 nucleotides long. Lineage: Eukaryota; Metazoa; Nematoda; Chromadorea; Rhabditida; Heligmosomidae. The record is from Rfam.